UGCCCUUUCCCCUUGGCGAUGGCGGCGGCUGGGGAACGGGUUCACCCCCGCGCGCCCGCGAGGCUGCGUGGCGGUACAGCGAGUGGUGGUCGGCACGUCUGUGCCCCCGUGGCUGCGGCAGCGUGACGGCGGCGCCCGCGUGCCUGCAGCGGCCAGCGUACCGGCGCUCGCGCGCCCACGCCUGCGUCCGUGUGGCUGGCAGUGGCGGCGGCGCCUGCUUGCCCCGUCCAUGUGCUCGGCCGUUGCGGCGGCGCACGCACGAGUGCCCAGUCGCAGCUGCGCACGCCUGCUGCUCGACCGCGACGACGUGGACCGGCUACGCCGGCUUGUCUGCGAGGAGACGACGUUGGCCUGCAGGUCGGAGAAGCUUCUACAUGCACUUCUGUUCGUGCCUCCGUUCCCAGGACCGGGCUGACUAGCUAAACCCAGCACCAGCCUGCAGUGGUGGCGUGCUCCUCGCCUGUGCCUGAGCACUCAUCUGUGGAGCGCGGUGGUUGUGCUUGUGCAUGCCUGUGCACUUGCCUUCAAGGCAGCGGUCCAGUGGAGGUUGCGACGGUGGCGGUGCUGUUGUGGCGCGGCGUUUCAGGUUCACAACGGAGGUUGGCAAGGCGCCAAGGCCUCACGCUGGAGGUACGACGAGCGGUGGUCAAGGCUAGCACGAAGCUAAUUCUAACCUUUAUCAUGGCAGCUAAAUCUAUUCCUGGGUAACAACUAAUCGUAGCAAGCAGUUAGAUUCUUACCUUUCUUCUUUGUUACCUUUGUGAACUCCUAGGCCAACGGAGCAUUCGUGCUGAUAACGUGUUAAGAAUCCUUUGCUACUAGUGUAGUCCAAAGGCUUCUUAACUAGAAAUAGAAUCAUAAACACAGGAGACACAAAGAUAUAGGAGGAACUGUUAUUCUCAUUCAUGUAUUCAGCUCAAUGGUUACAAC
Zea mays is the source of this 930-nucleotide long non-coding RNA. RefSeq lists it as uncharacterized. The transcript has a single exon. The record is from RefSeq and is marked validated. Lineage: Eukaryota; Viridiplantae; Streptophyta; Magnoliopsida; Poales; Poaceae.